Molecule: long non-coding RNA, 367 nt
Filed under: Carica papaya (papaya)
Lineage: Eukaryota; Viridiplantae; Streptophyta; Magnoliopsida; Brassicales; Caricaceae
Description: long non-coding RNA (CPAP_LNC005079)
Source: RNAcentral
AUAUACAUAUAUCAUGCCAAAUAAUAGAGAAAAUCAAAUAAAUCAUGAAGUGCAUAGAUAUUUCUUCUCAUGCUUCGCGAAGUCAUUACAAACAUCUAUCUCUGAGGGCAAAUAUAGAUUUUUAACUACCCAAGUGAAAUGAUCAGAUCAGAUAUAGAUACGGUAAUUUGCUCAAGCCCACUUUUGACUAGCCAAACUAUGGCAUGAUAUAUGACCAUGGUCGUACCAACCAUAGUGGUCAUAACAUAUAUCUAUAGCCACGACAUUACUUAGCAACAAUUGACGCUUAUAAAUGUGUGAUACCACUCUCGUCAGAGGGUACGCUGUCAUCCACUGAGAGUGGUCCUUUUACAUCUUUUCAGACUAG